RNAcentral lists this ribosomal RNA (497 nucleotides) under uncultured bacterium. Its description in RNAcentral is "partial 16S ribosomal RNA". It matches the Rfam family "Bacterial small subunit ribosomal RNA", at positions 28 to 507 of the family's 1533-position model. The record is from RNAcentral.
GAUGAACGCUGGCGGCGUGCCUAAUACAUGCAAGUCGAGCGAACAGACGAGGAGCUUGCCUCGCUGACGUUAGCGGCGGACGGGUGAGUAACACGUGGAUAACCUACCUAUAAGACUGGGAUAACUUCGGGAACCCGGAUCUAAUACCGGAUAAUAUAUUGAACCGCAUGGUUCAAUAGUGAAAGACGGUUUUGCUGUCACUUAUAGAUGUUUCCUCGUCGCAUUAGCUAGUUGGUAAGGUAACGGCUUACCAAGGCAACGAUGCGUAGCCGACCUGAGAGGGUGAUCGGCCACACUGGAACUGAGACACGGUCCAGACUCCUACGGGAGGCAGCAGUAGGGAAUCUUCCGCAAUGGGCGAAAGCCUGAUGGAGCAACGCCGCGUGAGUGAAGAAGGUCUUCGGAUCGUAAAACUCUGUUAUUAGGGAAGAACAAAUGUGUAAGUAACUAUGCACGUCUUGACGGUACCUAAUCAGAAAGCCACGGCUAACUACGUG